Molecule: long non-coding RNA, 762 nt
Filed under: Gossypium barbadense (sea-island cotton)
Lineage: Eukaryota; Viridiplantae; Streptophyta; Magnoliopsida; Malvales; Malvaceae
Description: long non-coding RNA (GBAR_LNC018593)
Source: RNAcentral
UUUACCCGGCCCAAAAUAAUAAAAAGUCUAUUAUUUUACAUGUCCGGAACAAAAAAAAAAGAGAGCCCAGAAUACAUGGCCCAAUUUAAAACAAUGGGGGCCCAAAUUUCAAUGGCCCAAAACGGAUGAAACCCUAGGGUUUUUGAUCUUCAACAGCGCCGCAACCAAGCCAAGAAGAAUCCUCCGGAUUUUCCCCAAUCUUCACCUGCAAAACAAGGAAAGAAAUCAAACAAUAUAUGGAAAAAUCAUAGGUUUGAGAAUCAAAGAUAUGACCAGAUUUAUUCCUUCUUUGCUUUAUUUUCAUUCGACUAUAAAAGGAGAUUAAAUACAUUGUAAAAGGGAUCCCGAACUCGAGAAAUCAAUAAAAACAGGACACUAUUUCACAGAAACCGAUUGAAACGCAAAGGUUGAUAUAUUUUCUUUUCUUGUUUUUUUGUUAUUUGUUUUUUUAUAUACUGAAUAAAUUAAAAUAAAGGAAAUAAAUAACCUUUCUUUUUGGAAGCACCGUACGACAGCUGAGGGAGCCACCCCCGAGGAUUGGUGGCCGGAAACCGAAAGGUUUCGUGUUGUUUUGAACCUCUUCGCUAGCAUUUUGAAGGAUUUAAGCCCAGAUUUGGGCAUAAGGGGGUCGAGAAGGCUAAAAGGGGAAUUUUCCCCUUUUUCGGCCACCACAGACGGUGGUACCGGCACCGAAGAAUGGUGGCCGGUACGGUGGCCGAUGAUCGGCCGUUAACCGGACUCAGACCGGUGCCCGGAGAAGAA